Molecule: long non-coding RNA, 913 nt
Organism: Penaeus monodon (black tiger shrimp)
Lineage: Eukaryota; Metazoa; Arthropoda; Malacostraca; Decapoda; Penaeidae
Exons: 3
Source: RefSeq, a predicted model, not a curated record
CACGAGCAAACAUCGUCACUCUCCAAAAAAUGCACUGUAAUUCAUUGUUUCACUUUGCAUCACGCCAUACCAAAAUACAAAUCAAAUAUACAUCCUUAAAUGUGCCAAGUGUUAUUAUACAACAUAUUGAUACAUUUUGUUAUGAGAAAUACUCGUUACAUCCAUACUUCUCGCAUGUACAGCCAUCUACCGGGAAAAUAAACAGUGCUAGUGUUCUCUUGCUUGUUUCGGAAGUGAAGUUCGUUUACAGUGCUACUUGUGUUUCCGAUUUUCCCCCUAAUAUUCUGAUGAAAACGUACUCUUAUUCAGAUUUUUUUCUUUCUUUUUUUUUGUGAUCUAAAUUCAGUGAAGUGCAAUGCCCGUGUUGCAGCUGCAGAAGUCCGUCAGAGAUUCGUCACCUUCCCAACUUCUCUUCCCUUCCUAAGUUAUCUUCCGCGGAAUUCGAAGAAGCUGAUUAUCUCAGGCUUUGUCGAGAUCCUCCUUGCGUGCGUCCUGGCAGAGGAAGAGGCGCUUCCGGCGUGAGAAAAAUUUGGGUGCGAUAAAGUCGGGAAAUUGAAGAGGAAUAGAAAGGAGGUGAGUCCCGUCGAGCAGACCAGGUGCCAGCGACGCGGCUUGAGGAAAAUCAGAGUGAAAGUCAACCCGUCUUGGCAAGCCGGUAUACAAUAAACACCCACAGAAGGCUUGCAUCACCAACUCUCCUUCUCUCGACACGCAUCUUUGGGAGAGUAUAAAAUGAACUCUACAUUAGUGAAGUGUUCUUUUGAUUAAGACCCCGCGCCUUGUUUUUUAUUUUCUUAUUUGAACGUUUUAUUCUGGAGAAUUUAUUUAUCGCAUUAUCUCACGAGAGUGCUAAAGGGCCAGAAUGCGAAGAACUUGCUUUGUGUUCACUGUGUAUAAAAUAAUCUCUUCAUCA